Long non-coding RNA from Thamnophis elegans (Western terrestrial garter snake), 853 nucleotides. RefSeq lists it as uncharacterized. The record is from RefSeq and is a predicted model, not a curated record. The transcript is spliced from 2 exons. Lineage: Eukaryota; Metazoa; Chordata; Lepidosauria; Squamata; Natricidae.
GCCAAGGUGGCUGUGAGUAAUACCACAACGGCCACACAAACAUCAAAUGAGGAGGAACUCCAUGCCCACGAACUAUUCAGCGGCUGCUUUAUAAAUUCUGCAAGGCUUCUCCUUUCUCAAUUCACUUCUCUCUCCGAGCUCCUGAAGACUCCUCCGAUCGGAUCUCCCAGUCCAGGUUCCUUGAAGUCCUCCAGGAUGAGCUACCAGAAUCAGCAGGGCAAUCAAAACACCUUUUACCCCCCAAAUAUGCCAUGGUGCCCACCUCAACAGUAUGGCGGCCAACCUCCGCAGUAUGGUGGCCCAGGUCAGCAGCCUGGCGGUCCACCUCAGAUGUAUGGCGGCCAACCUCAGAUGUAUGGUGGGCCACCUCAGAUGUAUGGCGGCCAACCUCAGAUGUAUGGCGGCCAACCUCAGCCGGGCUACCGCCCAUGUUAACCGUGCUGCCCCCUGCUCAGCAACGCUACCGCAAGUAGAAGGACCAAAAUUCUGUUGAAGAAGCUAUUGAAGGCAACAUCCGGAAGUAGAAAUGAGAAGGAGAAGGUACAUCGCUCAGCUUCCAACCUCAACCCAACAGGGAAGCCCACCAAGAAAACAAGACCUAGGAAUUGAUGCUGUCCACGAAACUCCGGGGUGGCUUAUUCCAUUGGCUUCUGAAAGGCCAACUCCACCACUGACAGCCCACGUGGAUGGAGAACUCGGCAGCCAAAACCAUCAUGAGAACUUCCAAGAAGAACCGGUCUCCUGAUCCUUAAUCAUGUCAUCGUCUUCUCCUGCCUUCCCCCUUCUGGUGUUUUGCCCUGCGCUCUGCUUGUCCCCUGGCAAAAUGUUAUUAAAAAGCAUGAAUUAGCCGGCA